Molecule: ribosomal RNA, 230 nt
Filed under: uncultured bacterium
Lineage: Bacteria
Description: partial 16S ribosomal RNA
Rfam family: Bacterial small subunit ribosomal RNA
Source: RNAcentral
CGUGUAGGCGGGAUGCCAGGUAUCAUGUGAAAGCCCCGGUCUCAAACCGGGAAUUGCACGGUAAACCUGCAUUCUUGAGGCAGGCAGAGGUGACUGGAACGACUGGUGGAGCGGUGAAAUGCGUAGAUAUCAGUUGGAACGCCGGCGGCGAAAGCGAGUCACUGGGCCUGUCCUGACGCUGAGACGCGAAAGCGUGGGUAGCAAACAGGAUUAGGAUACCCUGGUAGUCC